UACAUAUAUAAGAUCAUGUGCCACGUCCAUUCAUCUGUUCAAAUUUAAACGCAACAUUUCUCAGGAUUGAAAUAGCUCAUCGCGGAAGAAAGAAAGAAAGAAAGAAUGGAUUCUAGAUUUGAAGAUGCACCUUCUGGGUCUGAAUCAUCUGGAAAUUAUGGGUGCAAGCAUUACAGAAGGGGGUGCAAGAUCAGAGCACCCUGUUGCGACGAGGUUUUUGAUUGCAGGCACUGCCACAAUGAAGCUAAGAACGCUUUGGAAAUUGAUCCCCUCUAUCGACAUAAUAUUCCUCGCCAUGAAGUUGAAAAGGUCAUAUGUUCCCUCUGCAGAACAGAACAAGAUGUUCAACAAAGUUGUAUACAAUGUGGAGCAUGCAUGGGAAAAUACUUCUGCCAGAAAUGCAAAUUUUUUGAUGAUGAUAUCUCAAAGAAACAGUACCACUGUGAUGAAUGUGGAAUAUGUAGAACUGGUGGCAAGGAGAACUUUUUCCACUGCAACAAGUGUGGAUGUUGUUAUUCUAAUUUGAUCAAGGAUGCACAUCACUGCAUUGAAAGAGCUAUGCAUCACAAUUGCCCGGUUUGCUUUGAGUUUCUGUUUGAUACAAUAAAUGAUAUCACUGUUCUACAAUGCGGACAUACAAUACAUUUGGAAUGCCUCAAGGAGAUGCAGUCUCACUACCAGUAUUCAUGCCCUAUUUGCUCAAAAUCCAUCUGUGAUAUGUCAGAGUGUUGGGAAAAACUUGAUGAAGAGGUUGCUUCAACUCCAAUGCCGGAAAUGUACAAGGACAAGAUGGUGUGGAUACUAUGCAAUGACUGUGGGGAAGUAUCUAAGGUGCAAUUCCACAUCUUGGGUCACAAAUGCUUGAGGUGCAAAUCUUAUAAUACAAGACAGAUACAAGGAGCACCUGCUUCUUCUGCAUGCCCUUCUGGAGUUGCAGAGAUGGUGACAUGAAUUCUAUUAGUGAAUUUUGAAGAAGAAGCAGCAAGCAGAGAAAUAUGAACAAAGUGAGAGGAUGACAAGUGGAGGGCUCAAUCUGAUCUUCUCAUCUUGACAUUAAGAGGGACUUGUUUGUAGGACUGCACCCUCCCGGCUGCUCUGCGCAACGGUCUUCCAAGAGAAGUUCUCUUUGAGCAGCAAGAUUUGUGUUCCAAGGGAGGAGCAAGAUCUUCCUGAGCACGAGCUAGACUGUCGUAUUGCCUCGCUAUAUCUUCAAAUUCAGAUACCCUCUUGGCUGGCUCUUGCUGCUGCAUUCUGGGGCUAGCAGAUUGCCUCCUCAAACAAUGCCUAUACAUAAUAGGAUUCAAGAUAAUCAAUAUAGGGAAAAUUAUCACCAGAAAGCUGGUUUUUUCUGUUGCAUUACUGUAUAUUAUCAAGAAAGCUGACCUUUUAUUUUCUGUGGAUCCCUUUUCUGCAGCUGGCUGGGAGGCAGCUGAACUUCCCAUUGCUGAAAAGAUUCUGGAAGUUAGUGACCAAAGUUGAAAUAGUUGAAAGUAAGCAUAUGUUUAUAUACACAUAUGAAUAUUGUCUGCAUGAAAUCUAGCAUUUACAUCUACUCUUUGAGGCUUGAAGCUUCCUGUUUAUUUUACUAGGAUUGAUAUCUGCAUUUGGUACAGAAUCCCCAACUCCUGUCUCCUUAUCCUACAUAAAAGAGCACAGAAAUAACAAUUACAAGAAAAUUUGUUGAUUGUA
This is an RNA transcript of Ipomoea triloba (trilobed morning glory), 1689 nucleotides long. It is a transcript of the gene named E3 ubiquitin-protein ligase RZFP34-like, with no coding region annotated. The transcript has 12 exons. The record is from RefSeq and is a predicted model, not a curated record. Lineage: Eukaryota; Viridiplantae; Streptophyta; Magnoliopsida; Solanales; Convolvulaceae.